CGGGUGCCUAGUUUCUUUUGGUUCAGUGAGUCAGGAUGCGAACCUCGAGGGGAGCGACGGUCUCCCAGCUUGGGACUUCGCUCAGUAAUUAGUCGAUUAUGCUGUGGAUCUGACUCAGAGCUAGAUGUCCUAAGUGGAUGUGGACCUCGAGGCGACUGCCUUUGAGGCAUUUCUGAACCCCUUGAUCUUGGCAUUUGAUCAGCUUAAGGAAUAUUGGUUGAAGAACUGCAAGGAAUGUAUAGAGAAUUGUUCUCUGAAGAAUCUGGGUAUCUAGCUAAUUGCACAACUAA
Molecule: unclassified non-coding RNA, 290 nt
Filed under: Hevea brasiliensis (rubber tree)
Lineage: Eukaryota; Viridiplantae; Streptophyta; Magnoliopsida; Malpighiales; Euphorbiaceae
Source: RNAcentral